AUCCAGUCUGUUAUCGCCUGGACUUACCGGCUAAUAUGAGGAUACCCAAUUCCUUUCAUGUUUCUCUUCUGAAACCUUUGAUUUGUAAUCGCUUUACUCGGAAACCCAGGACUCCUCUUUCUACACUCAUUGAUGGCCAAGACGAGUACGAGGUUAAAUCUAUUUUAGACUCUCGUGUCUCUAGAGGUCGGCUCCAGUAUCUAUUGGAUUGGAAGGGAUACGGCCCCGAGGAAAGGUCAUGGGUGGAUGCCUCGGACGUGCACGCGCCUCGCCUAGUCCGUUCCUUUGCUAGGCAUCGUUCUCGCGGGCCCUGUCCUCCCCGCCCUGGGGGCGGUCCUCGAGGGGGGGUACUGUGACGAUACCUUACCUG
This is a non-coding RNA of Pelobates cultripes (western spadefoot toad), 370 nucleotides long. NCBI's taxonomy places the organism in Eukaryota, Metazoa, Chordata, Amphibia, Anura, Pelobatidae. The record is from the annotation of a GenBank genome assembly.